AACGAACGCUGGCGGCAUGCCUAACACAUGCAAGUCGAACGAGACCUUCGGGUCUAGUGGCGCACGGGUGCGUAACGCGUGGGAACCUGCCCUUAGGUUCGGAAUAACUCCCCGAAAGGGGUGCUAAUACCGGAUAAUGUCUUCGGACCAAAGAUUUAUCGCCUUUGGAUGGGCCCGCGUUGGAUUAGCUAGUUGGGAGGGUAAAAGCCUACCAAGGCGAGGAUGCAUAGCUGGUCUGAGAGGAUGAUCAGCCACACUGGGACUGAGACACGGCCCAGACUCCUACGGGAGGCAGCAGUGGGGAAUAUAGGACAAUGGGCGAAAGGAUGAUCCAGCAAUGCCGCGUGAGUGAUGAAGGCCUUAGGGUUGUAAAGCUCUUUUACCCGGGAUGAUAAUGACAGUACCGGGAGAAUAAGCUCCGGCUAACUCCGUG
This 433-nucleotide ribosomal RNA is filed under the name uncultured bacterium. RNAcentral describes it as "partial 16S ribosomal RNA". It matches the Rfam family "Bacterial small subunit ribosomal RNA", at positions 29 to 507 of the family's 1533-position model. The record is from RNAcentral.